Molecule: ribosomal RNA, 460 nt
Filed under: uncultured bacterium
Lineage: Bacteria
Description: partial 16S ribosomal RNA
Rfam family: Bacterial small subunit ribosomal RNA
Source: RNAcentral
CCUACGAGAGGCAGCAGUGAGGAAUAUUGGUCAAUGGGCGGGAGCCUGAACCAGCCAAGUCGCGUGAGGGAAGACGGUCCUAUGGAUUGUAAACCUCUUUAUGCGGGGAGCAAUUCCGGGCACGCGUGCCCGGAGGGAGAGUACCCGCAGAAUAAGCAUCGGCUAACUCCGUGCCAGCAGCCGCGGUAAUAGGGGGGAUGCGCGCGUUAUCCGGAUUUCUUGGGUUUAAAGGGUGCGUAGGCGGAUUUUUAAGUCAGCGGUAAAAUGUCCGGGCUCAACCCGGGCCGGCCGUUGAAACUGGGGAUCUUGAGUGGGCGAGAAGUAUGCGGAAUGCUUGGUGUAGCGGUGACAUGCAUAGAUAUCACGCAGAACUCCGAUUGCGAAGGCAGCAUACCGGCGCCCGACUGACGCUGAGGCACGAAAGCGUGGGGAUCGAACAGGAUUAGAUACCCUGGUAGUC